UGUAGCUCAGUUGGUAGGGUGUUUGUCUAACAUACAAGAUGCCCUGGGUUCAAUCCUCAGCA
RNAcentral lists this transfer RNA (62 nucleotides) under Neotoma lepida (desert woodrat). It matches the Rfam family "tRNA", at positions 6 to 65 of the family's 71-position model. Rfam says of the family: Transfer RNA (tRNA) molecules are approximately 80 nucleotides in length. Their secondary structure includes four short double-helical elements and three loops (D, anti-codon, and T loops). Further hydrogen bonds mediate the characteristic L-shaped molecular structure. tRNAs have two regions of fundamental functional importance: the anti-codon, which is responsible for specific mRNA codon recognition, and the 3' end, to which the tRNAs corresponding amino acid is attached (by aminoacyl-tRNA synthetases). tRNAs cope with the degeneracy of the genetic code in two manners: having more than one tRNA (with a specific anti-codon) for a particular amino acid; and 'wobble' base-pairing, i.e. permitting non-standard base-pairing at the 3rd anti-codon position. Lineage: Eukaryota; Metazoa; Chordata; Mammalia; Rodentia; Cricetidae. The record is from Rfam by way of RNAcentral.